GAUGAACGCUAGCGGCAGGCUUAAUACAUGCAAGUCAAGGGGUAGCAAUACACCGGCGGACGGGUGCGUAACGCGUACACAACAUACCCUUGAGCGGGGGGAUAGCAUCGGGAAACUGGUGGUAACACCCCAUAGUGUUGUAGGAUGGCAUCAUUUUACAACUAAAGGUUACACUCAAGGAUUGGUGUGCGUAUGAUUAGCUAGUUGGUAAGGUAACGGCUUACCAAGGCUUUGAUCAUUAGGGGGUGUGAGAGCAUGACCCCCCACACGGGUACUGAGACACGGACCCGACUCCUACGGGAGGCAGCAGUAAGGAAUAUUGGACAAUGGUCGGAAGACUGAUCCAGCCAUGCCGCGUGAAGGACGAAGGCGCUCUGCGUUGUAA
This 385-nucleotide ribosomal RNA is filed under the name uncultured bacterium. RNAcentral's name for it is "bacterial SSU rRNA". It matches the Rfam family "Bacterial small subunit ribosomal RNA", at positions 28 to 428 of the family's 1533-position model. The record is from RNAcentral.